Molecule: ribosomal RNA, 253 nt
Filed under: uncultured bacterium
Lineage: Bacteria
Description: partial 16S ribosomal RNA
Rfam family: Bacterial small subunit ribosomal RNA
Source: RNAcentral
UACGUAGGGGCCGAGCGUUGUCCGGAGUUAUUGGGCGUAAAGCGCGCGCAGGCGGCUUCGCGCGUCCGACGUGAAAGCCCCCGGCUCAACCGGGGAGGGUCGUUGGGUACGGCGGAGCUUGAGGGCGGUAGAGGUUGGUGGAAUUCCCGGUGUAGUGGUGAAAUGCGUAGAGAUCGGGAGGAACACCUGUGGCGAAGGCGGCCAACUGGGCCGACCCUGACGCUGAGGCGCGAAGGCGUGGGGAGCAAACAGG